AGACCAUGAUGUGGAUGCUUCUUCUGUAAUUCUUUAAACCUCUCCCAGACUUCAUAAAAAUAUUAACCAUCAAGCUGAACAAAACUGGUAAUAUCAUUUCUAAUUUU
Carya illinoinensis is the source of this 107-nucleotide small nucleolar RNA. The record is from RefSeq and is a predicted model, not a curated record. Lineage: Eukaryota; Viridiplantae; Streptophyta; Magnoliopsida; Fagales; Juglandaceae.